RNAcentral lists this ribosomal RNA (254 nucleotides) under uncultured bacterium. RNAcentral describes it as "partial 16S ribosomal RNA". It matches the Rfam family "Bacterial small subunit ribosomal RNA", at positions 524 to 776 of the family's 1533-position model. The record is from RNAcentral.
UACAGAGGUCUCAAGCGUUGUUCGGAUUCAUUGGGCGUAAAGGGUGCGUAGGCGGCGCGGUAAGUCGGGUGUGAAAUCUCGGAGCUUAACUCCGAAACUGCAUUCGAUACUGCCGUGCUUGAGGACUGGAGAGGAGACUGGAAUUUACGGUGUAGCGGUGAAAUGCGUAGAUAUCGUAAGGAAGACCAGUGGCGAAGGCGGGGUCUCUGGACAGAUCCUGACGCUGAGGCACGAAGGUCAGGGGAGCAAACGGG